AGACAAUUAAGCUAUGGAAGUUUGGUUAAAUUCCAACACGGUCCCGCCACUGUAAUCAUGCAUUUGCAUGGAGUCAGAUCUUUGCUUAGUUUGCUAAUAAUGCACAUGAACUGUUUCGAGGUCAGACA
Molecule: small RNA, 128 nt
Filed under: uncultured Atopostipes sp.
Lineage: Bacteria; Bacillati; Bacillota; Bacilli; Lactobacillales; Carnobacteriaceae
Source: RNAcentral